Molecule: transfer RNA, 89 nt
Filed under: Bryobacterales bacterium
Lineage: Bacteria; Pseudomonadati; Acidobacteriota; Terriglobia; Bryobacterales
Also listed under: 1 other name
Description: tRNA-Tyr
Rfam family: tRNA
About the family: Transfer RNA (tRNA) molecules are approximately 80 nucleotides in length. Their secondary structure includes four short double-helical elements and three loops (D, anti-codon, and T loops).
Source: RNAcentral
GGACGGGUGGCCGAGUGGUUAAAGGCAGCAGACUGUAAAUCUGCCGGUCCUUGCGACCUACGUAGGUUCGAAUCCUACCCCGUCCACCA